AGUGAACGCUGGCGGUAGGCCUAACACAUGCAAGUCGAACGGCAGCACAGUAAGAGCUUGCUCUUACGGGUGGCGAGUGGCGGACGGGUGAGGAAUACAUCGGAAUCUACUUUUUCGUGGGGGAUAACGUAGGGAAACUUACGCUAAUACCGCAUACGACCUACGGGUGAAAGCAGGGGAUCUUCGGACCUUGCGCGAUUGAAUGAGCCGAUGUCGGAUUAGCUAGUUGGCGGGGUAAAGGCCCACCAAGGCGACGAUCCGUAGCUGGUCUGAGGGGAUGAUCAGCCACACUGGAACUGAGACACGGUCCAGACUCCUACGGGAGGCAGCAGUGGGGAAUAUUGGACAAUGGGCGCAAGCCUGAUCCAGCCAUACCGCGUGGGUGAAGAAGGCCUUCUGGUUGUAAAGCCCUUUUGUUGGGAAAGAAAAGCAGCAGGUUAAUACCCCGCUGUUCUGACGGUACCCAAAGAAUAAGCACCGGCUAACUUCGUG
RNAcentral lists this ribosomal RNA (492 nucleotides) under uncultured bacterium. Its description in RNAcentral is "partial 16S ribosomal RNA". It matches the Rfam family "Bacterial small subunit ribosomal RNA", at positions 29 to 507 of the family's 1533-position model. The record is from RNAcentral.